Molecule: ribosomal RNA, 216 nt
Filed under: Glomeromycotina sp.
Lineage: Eukaryota; Fungi; Glomeromycota
Description: partial small subunit ribosomal RNA
Rfam family: Eukaryotic small subunit ribosomal RNA (bases 40-216)
Source: RNAcentral
GGGUCAGUAGGUUGGUCGUGCCACCGGUACGUACUGGUCUCACUGAUUGCUCCUUCCUGAAGAACCGUAAUGCCAUUAAUUUGGUGUUGCGGGGAAACAGGACUGUUACUUUGAACAAAUUAGAGUGUUUAAAGCAAGCUAACGCUUGAAUACAUUAGCAUGGAAUAAUGAAAUAGGACGAUCGAUCCUAUUUUGUUGGUUUCUAGGAUUGACGUA